AUUGAACGCUGGCGGCAGGCCUAACACAUGCAAGUCGAGCGGAUGAAGGGGGCUUGCUCCUGGAUUCAGCGGCGGACGGGUGAGUACUGCCUAGGAAUCUGCCUGGUAGUGGGGGAUAACGUCCGGACACGGGCGCUAAUACCGCAUACGUCCUGAGGGAGAAAGUGGGGGAUCUUCGGACCUCACGCUAUCAGGUGAGCCUAGGUCGGAUUAGCUAGUUGGUGGGGUAAAGGCCUACCAAGGCGACGAUCCGUAACUGGUCUGAGAGGAUGAUCAGUCACACUGGAACUGAGACACGGUCCAGACUCCUACGGGAGGCAGCAGUGGGGAAUAUUGGACAAUGGGCGAAAGCCUGAUCCAGCCAUGCCGCGUGUGUGAAGAAGGUCUUCGGAUUGUAAAGCACUUUAAGUUGGGAGGAAGGGCAGUAAGUUAAUACCUUGCUGUUUUGACGUUACCAACAGAAUAAGCACCGGCUAACUUCGUG
This 484-nucleotide ribosomal RNA is filed under the name uncultured bacterium. RNAcentral's name for it is "partial 16S ribosomal RNA". It matches the Rfam family "Bacterial small subunit ribosomal RNA", at positions 30 to 507 of the family's 1533-position model. The record is from RNAcentral.